Molecule: non-coding RNA, 841 nt
Organism: Anas platyrhynchos (mallard)
Lineage: Eukaryota; Metazoa; Chordata; Aves; Anseriformes; Anatidae
Source: RefSeq, a predicted model, not a curated record
GCUUUCUUCCAGAUUACUCAGUCAUCAGUGAGCCCCAUGGUAGAGAAAUUCACUGUGCAAAGGUACCCUUAUCUCUUUCACUUAUCAAGGCCAGUACAGGUGUUUUCUUAGUCAGCAAUUCUUAAACAGUGACAAGCUUUUUCCCAAACACUUCCCAGCUUCUUUUAAUAGAAGCAUAAUUUAGUUUUGAGGCCCAAGAGAAGUUUUUUUUUCUGAAGUCAUCCAGCCACAUUUAUGCCUGGAGGGGGAAGAAAGAAAACAAGAUGCUUCUCAGAGAGCCUGUGCUGGGUCACUUCUGUGUCUGUUCCCCACACACUGGGGGAGAUAUUUAACCCCUGUUUCCUGGUUCUUCUCAUAGGAGAAGGCAGGUCCUGUGCAUACAGCCCUAGAAAUGAAAUGAGCUGAAGUAUAUGGACCCUAUAUAAACUGGAAAAGAUUUGAGAAAAAUAUUCAGCAGCAAAUGCAUGGUUUUUCUGUAGUGCAUCUGAGCAUGAGACUGAGCUGCACGAAAAGUGGCUCUGUCCCAGGGAUAGCCCCUCUUCUCUGUCUCUUCUGAAAUAUGUGGACAACAAGUACAAUUCAGAAUGAAGAAUCUGGACUGCUGUGAGGAAUGUAAUUAUAAAAAGAGAAUGUAUUGAACUGUCAGUUUAUUUAUCUAAACUCUGAGUUAAAGAAUUUGUAUAAUUGCUUUGUAAGCAACUGAAAUUCUACAUAUAAAUUUAUCUAAUUGCUGGCUUCCUUAAAUCUAUCAUAUUGGUUUUCUUUCUGCAUUUAAAACCUAUUUAAGUACUUAUGCAUAAAAUGGGAAAAGUUUAUAAAUAAAAAAAAACUAUCAAAAUGA